AUGGUAGGAUAGAGGCCUACCAUGGUGGUAACGGGUAACGGGGUGUUAGGGCACGACACCGGAGAGGGAGCCUGAGAAACGGCUACCACAUCCNAGGAUGGCAGCAGGCGCGCAAAUUACCCAAUCCCGACACGGGGAGGUAGUGACAAUAAAUAACAAUACGGGGUUCUUUAGGAUCUCGUAAUUGGAAUGAGUACAAUUUAAAUCUCUUAACGAGGAACAAUUGGAGGGCAAGUCUGGUGCCAGCAGCCGCGGUAAUUCCAGCUCCAAUAGCGUAUAUUAAAGUUGUUGCAGUUAAAAAGCUCGUAGUUGAAUUUCGGGGUCAGUAGGUCGGUCGUGCCACUGGUAUGAACUGGUUUUACUGAUUCCUCCCUCUUGAAGAACUGUAAUGCCAUUAAUUUGGUGUUGCAGGGAAUCAGGACUGUUACUUUGAAAAAAUUAGAGUGUUUAAAGCAGGCUUUAGCUUGAAUACAUUAGCAUGGAAUAAUGAAAUAGGACGUUUGAUCCUAUUUUGUUGGUUUCUAGGAUUGACGUAAUGAUUAAUAGGGAUAGUUGGGGGCAUUAGUAUUCAAUUGUCAGAGGUGAAAUUCUUGGAUUUAUUGAAGACUAACUACUGCGAAAGCAUUUGCCAAGGAUGUUUUCAUUAAUCAAGAACGAAAGUUAGGGGAUCGAAGACGAUCAGAUACCGUCGUAGUCUUAACCAUAAACUAUGCCGACGAGGGAUCGGAUGAUGUUAAUUUUUUAAUGACUCANUCGGCGCCNUACGGGAAACCAAAGUGUUUGGG
Molecule: ribosomal RNA, 785 nt
Filed under: uncultured Glomus
Lineage: Eukaryota; Fungi; Glomeromycota; Glomeromycetes; Glomerales; Glomeraceae
Description: SSU rRNA
Rfam family: Eukaryotic small subunit ribosomal RNA
Source: RNAcentral